UCCGUCCACGAAUAAGCGUAAGUAUAGGUUCAAACUAUCCAACUUAGUACAGCUGUGAAAUUACCAUUAUACCCCUAUAAAAAGUGACUGCCAUAUCUUCUGUUCAUGCUGUAAUGAUUACAGUAACAGUGCACAUCCUAUAGAAAAACACAAAACUGACCAAAGACUUCAGCACAGCCCACCCACGUGGCUACGAAUAAACACAACACAAUAUACAAAAGGCCAUAAAAGACCAUUACAGAAACUUCCAGGACAUCCUUGGCGCCCAUUGUGCCUGGAGAUUCAAAUUUUAACUGCGCGCCACUGCCCCGACUACAAAAGAAUCCACAUGCUCAUCAGGCAUCCACCUUGCUCCUAAUGGUCCAAACUCCAAAACGUUCAAUCCACUGCAGCUUCCUCAGCCUACAAUCCAUUCCCUCUUCAACCAUGGCCAUAGAUCUAAAUAAAGUACCAGAUGAAGGAAGUGAGCAGUUGUUACCUGACCUCAAUGAAGAAGCUCCUGAUGAGCAGGGAGACGAAAUCCAUCAUCUUCAGGAAGAUCAAGUUCAUCUCCUCAAAGAAAAUGAAGUCUAUCAACUCCAAGGUCAAGCCCAGUAUCUCUAUGAAGGGGAACAUAGAGCUAUGCAUGGCAUAGAUCUCAACGUUCCUGCUUGUGAGGGGCAGCAACAAGAACCUGAUGCAGGUAAUGUCUCUCUUAAUUAAAUUGCUACAAGUAAAUCACUUAUAUUCACAAGUCCGUACAUUCCAUUACCUACCUGUGUCCCACCUUAUUGUAGUCCUUCCUGUUGACGACGACCAUCAACAACAUGGAGAUAUCAACUUUCAUGGUCCAAUCGAACACAGCGUAUUUGACCUCAACUUAGAAGCUUCAUGUCACCAACAAUAUAGAGAUAUGAACUUUGUUGGAUCAUAUGACUACGAUGUAUUCGACCACAACAUACAAGCUUCAGAUGCCUUACAAGAUGGAGAUAUCAACUUUGAUGGUCCACAUGAGUACGGUGUGUUUGACCUCAACCUACAAGCCUUAGAUCACCAACAAGAGAUGCAUCAAAUGAUCAGUAAGCCUCAAAUUACCAACCCUUUUUACUUAAUUUUCAUAGUACAUUCACUAAAAUAGGUUCACAGAGUUAAGCAUUGAAUUUUCUUUGCCAACAGUCUUCACAACAAAUUCGUAUUGCUGCCUUACUUGAAUUUUUUUGUAGACAUGAUCGAGGAUAUGAAUGACUAUGGUGUGUACAAUGACGUUGUGGACAUAACCUUUGAUGAAGAGGAGUUGGAGGACUCCGAAACUGAAGAAGAUGUACAUGCAAAUGAAAAUAC
Molecule: long non-coding RNA, 1320 nt
Filed under: Sorghum bicolor (sorghum)
Lineage: Eukaryota; Viridiplantae; Streptophyta; Magnoliopsida; Poales; Poaceae
Description: long non-coding RNA (SBIC_LNC001252)
Source: RNAcentral